Molecule: long non-coding RNA, 265 nt
Filed under: Zostera marina
Lineage: Eukaryota; Viridiplantae; Streptophyta; Magnoliopsida; Alismatales; Zosteraceae
Description: long non-coding RNA (ZMAR_LNC005398)
Source: RNAcentral
GAUCUGCCAAAUCUUCUAUUUUCAAUGGAUUUAUUAUACAUCUACCCCAUCUUCUACAUCUGAAGCACGUAGUGAUGUUCAUGAAAUUCAGCAAAAUAUGGAUUCAUUUUCGCCUACUAAUCGUAUCUCCGAUUAUUCAAUUAUGCAAUCGAUCACUUUAUUUGGCCACAAAAUCGUUCCAGCAGUUCAGAAAUCAACAUUAAGUCUUCAUAGUGAUGACAUUUCAAAGAUUAGUAAGAAACGCAAACAUGAUGAAACUGUGGGU